Molecule: ribosomal RNA, 465 nt
Filed under: uncultured Klebsiella sp.
Lineage: Bacteria; Pseudomonadati; Pseudomonadota; Gammaproteobacteria; Enterobacterales; Enterobacteriaceae
Description: bacterial SSU rRNA
Rfam family: Bacterial small subunit ribosomal RNA
Source: RNAcentral
CCUACGGGAGGCUGCAGUGGGGAAUAUUGCACAAUGGGCGCAAGCCUGAUGCAGCCAUGCCGCGUGUGUGAAGAAGGCCUUCGGGUUGUAAAGCACUUUCAGCGGGGAGGAAGGCGUUAAGGUUAAUAACCUUGGCGAUUGACGUUACCCGCAGAAGAAGCACCGGCUAACUCCGUGCCAGCAGCCGCGGUAAUACGGAGGGUGCAAGCGUUAAUCGGAAUUACUGGGCGUAAAGCGCACGCAGGCGGUCUGUCAAGUCGGAUGUGAAAUCCCCGGGCUCAACCUGGGAACUGCAUUCGAAACUGGCAGGCUAGAGUCUUGUAGAGGGGGGUAGAAUUCCAGGUGUAGCGGUGAGAUGCGUAGAGAUCUGGAGGAAUACCGGUGGCGAAGGCGGCCCCCUGGACAAAGACUGACGCUCAGGUGCGAAAGCGUGGGGAGCAAACAGGAUUAGAUACCCGGGUAGUC